RNAcentral lists this ribosomal RNA (439 nucleotides) under uncultured bacterium. RNAcentral's name for it is "bacterial SSU rRNA". It matches the Rfam family "Bacterial small subunit ribosomal RNA", at positions 954 to 1392 of the family's 1533-position model. The record is from RNAcentral.
GCACAACGCGAAGAACCUUACCCACCCUUGACAUGUACGGAAUCCUUUAGAGAUAGAGGAGUGCUCGAAAGAGAGCCGUAACACAGGUGCUGCAUGGCUGUCGUCAGCUCGUGUCGUGAGAUAUUGGGUUAAGUCCCGCAACGAGCGCAACCCUUGCCAUUAGUUGCUACAUUUAGUUGAGCACUCUAAUGGGACUGCCGGUGACAAACCGGAGGAAGGUGGGGAUGACGUCAAGUCCUCAUGGCCCUUAUAGGGUGGGGCUACACACGUCAUACAAUGGCUGGUACAAAGGGUUGCCAACCCGCGAGGGGGAGCUAAUCCCAUAAAGCCAGUCGUAGUCCGGAUCGCAGUCUGCAACUCGACUGCGUGAAGUCGGAAUCGCUAGUAAUCGUGGAUCAGAAUGUCACGGUGAAUACGUUCCCGGGUCUUGUACACACCG